Molecule: ribosomal RNA, 1512 nt
Filed under: Peptostreptococcaceae bacterium feline oral taxon 134
Lineage: Bacteria; Bacillati; Bacillota; Clostridia; Peptostreptococcales; Peptostreptococcaceae
Description: bacterial SSU rRNA
Rfam family: Bacterial small subunit ribosomal RNA
Source: RNAcentral
GAGUUUGAUCCUGGCUCAGGAGGAACGCUGGCGGCGUGCCUAACACAUGCAAGUCGAGCGAGAAAUAGUCAGACGGAGAUUUCGGUUGAAGGAUGGUUAUGGAAAGCGGCGGACGGGUGAGUAACGCGUAGGCAACCUGCCUCAUGCAGAGGGAUAGCCUCGGGAAACCGGGAUUAAAACCUCAUAAGGCCAAGGGGACACAUGUUUUCGUGGUCAAAGAUUUAUCGGCAUGAGAUGGGCCUGCGUCUGAUUAGCUGGUUGGUGAGGUAACGGCUCACCAAGGCGACGAUCAGUAGCCGACCUGAGAGGGUAAACGGCCACAUUGGAACUGAGACACGGUCCAAACUCCUACGGGAGGCAGCAGUGGGGAAUAUUGCACAAUGGGCGAAAGCCUGAUGCAGCAACGCCGCGUGAGCGAAGAAGGCCUUUGGGUCGUAAAGCUCUGUCGAUAGGGAAGAAAAAGGUGACGGUACCUAUCAAGAAAGCCCCGGCUAACUACGUGCCAGCAGCCGCGGUAAUACGUAGGGGGCGAGCGUUAUCCGGAAUUAUUGGGCGUAAAGAGUGCGUAGGUGGCUAGAUAAGCGUGGGGUGAAAGGCAGUGGCUUAACCAUUGUAAGCCCUGCGAACUGUGUAGCUUGAGUGCAGGAGGGGAAAGUGGAAUUCCUAGUGUAGCGGUGAAAUGCGUAGAUAUUAGGAGGAACACCGGUGGCGAAGGCGGCUUUCUGGACUGUAACUGACACUGAGGCACGAAAGCGUGGGUAGCAAACAGGAUUAGAUACCCUGGUAGUCCACGCCGUAAACGAUGAGCACUAGGUGUUGGUCUCGCAAGAGAUCGGUGCCGCAGUUAACGCAAUAAGUGCUCCGCCUGGGGAGUACGCACGCAAGUGUAAAACUCAAAGGAAUUGACGGGGACCCGCACAAGCAGCGGAGCAUGUGGUUUAAUUCGAAGCAACGCGAAGAACCUUACCAGGACUUGACAUCUGCCUGACAUUCCUUUAAUAGGGGAGUUCUUUUAGACAGGCAAGACAGGUGGUGCAUGGUUGUCGUCAGCUCGUGUCGUGAGAUGUUGGGUUAAGUCCCGCAACGAGCGCAACCCUUGUCAAUAGUUGCCAGCAGUAAGAUGGGGACUCUAUUGAGACUGCCGUGGAUAACACGGAGGAAGGUGGGGAUGACGUCAAAUCAUCAUGCCCCUUAUGUUCUGGGCUACACACGUGCUACAAUGGCCGGUACAGAGAGAAGCGAGAUAGAGAUAUGGAGCAAACCUCAGAAAACCGGUCCCAGUUCGGAUUGUAGGCUGCAACUCGCCUACAUGAAGUUGGAGUUGCUAGUAAUCGCAGAUCAGAAUGCUGCGGUGAAUGCGUUCCCGGGUCUUGUACACACCGCCCGUCACACCAUGGAAGUUGGGGGUGCCCGAAGUCGGUUAGGAAAUAGGCUGCCGAAGGCAAAACCAAUGACUGGGGUGAAGUCGUAACAAGGUAGCCGUAUCGGAAGGUGCGGCUGGAACACCUCCUU